GACGAACGCUGGCGGCGUGCUUAACACAUGCAAGUCGAACGGAAAGGCCCUGCUUUUGUGGGGUGCUCGAGUGGCGAACGGGUGAGUAACACGUGAGUAACCUGCCCUUGACUUUGGGAUAACUUCAGGGAACUGGGGCUAAUACCGGAUAGGAGCUCCUGCUGCAUGGUGGGGGUUGGAAAGUUUCGGCGGUUGGGGAUGGACUCGCGGCUUAUCAGCUUGUUGGUGGGGUAGUGGCUUACCAAGGCUUUGACGGGUAGCCGGCCUGAGAGGGUGACCGGCCACAUUGGGACUGAGAUACGGCCCAGACUCCUACGGGAGGCAGCAGUGGGGAAUAUUGCACAAUGGGCGGAAGCCUGAUGCAGCAACGCCGCGCGCGGGAUGACGGCCUUCGGGUUGUAAACCGCUUUCGCCUGUGACGAAGCGUGAGUGACGGUAAUGGGUAAAGAAGCACCGGCUAACUACGUG
Molecule: ribosomal RNA, 468 nt
Filed under: uncultured bacterium
Lineage: Bacteria
Description: partial 16S ribosomal RNA
Rfam family: Bacterial small subunit ribosomal RNA
Source: RNAcentral